CCAGUCCUACGGGGGGCAGCAGUGGGGAAUAUUGGGCAAUGGGCGCAAGCCUGACCCAGCAACGCCGCGUGAAGGAAGAAGGCUUUCGGGUUGUAAACUUCUUUUCUGAGGGACGAAGAAAGUGACGGUACCUCAGGAAUAAGCCACGGCUAACUACGUGCCAGCAGCCGCGGUAAUACGUAGGUGGCAAGCGUUAUCCGGAUUUAUUGGGUGUAGAGGGCGUGUAGGCGGGAAAGCAAGUCAGAUGUGAAAACUCA
RNAcentral lists this ribosomal RNA (257 nucleotides) under uncultured bacterium. RNAcentral's name for it is "partial 16S ribosomal RNA". It matches the Rfam family "Bacterial small subunit ribosomal RNA", at positions 333 to 604 of the family's 1533-position model. The record is from RNAcentral.